UACGUAGGGGGCAAGCGUUGUCCGGAUUUAUUGGGCGUAAAGAGCGUGUAGGCGGUUAGGUAGGUCCGUUGUGAAAACUCGAGGCUCAACCUCGAGACGCCGAUGGAAACCAUCUGACUAGAGUCCGGAAGAGGAGAGUGGAAUUCCUGGUGUAGCGGUGAAAUGCGCAGAUAUCAGGAAGAACACCCGUGGCUAAGGCGGCUCACUGGUCCGGUACUGACGCUGAGGUGCGAAAGCGUGGGGAGCAAACAGG
This 253-nucleotide ribosomal RNA is filed under the name uncultured bacterium. RNAcentral describes it as "partial 16S ribosomal RNA". It matches the Rfam family "Bacterial small subunit ribosomal RNA", at positions 524 to 776 of the family's 1533-position model. The record is from RNAcentral.